RNAcentral lists this ribosomal RNA (1160 nucleotides) under marine metagenome. RNAcentral's name for it is "bacterial SSU rRNA". It matches the Rfam family "Bacterial small subunit ribosomal RNA", at positions 322 to 1516 of the family's 1533-position model. The record is from RNAcentral.
AGACACGGCCCCCACUCCUACGGGAGGCAGCAGCAGGGAAUCUUGCACAAUGGGCGAAAGCCUGAUGCAGCGACGCCGCGUGAGGGAUGAAGGUUUUAGGAUCGUAAACCUCUUUUCUUAGGGAAUAGUUUGGAAGGUACCUAAGGAAUAAGUCACGGCUAACUACGUGCCAGCAGCCGCGGUAAUACGUAGGUGGCAAAUGUUGUCCGGAAUCAUUGGGCGUAAAGGGUCCGUAGGUGGCAUGAAUAGUCUUAUGUGAAAUCUCUUGGCUCAACCAAGAAACGCCAUAAGAAACUUUCAUGCUAGAGAUCAUCAGAGGGAGGUAGAAUUCCAGGUGUAGUGGUGAAAUGCGUAGAUAUCUGGAGGAAUACCAAUGGCGAAAGCAGCCUCCUGGGGUGAAUCUGACAUUGAGGGACGAAAGCGUGGGUAGCAAACCGGAUUAGAUACCCGGGUAGUCCAUGCCGUAAACGAUGAAUACUGGGUCUUCGGGGAAUCGACCCCCUGUGGACCGAAGCUAACGCGUUAAGUAUUCCGCCUGGGGAGUACGGUCGCAAGACUAAAACUCAAAGGAAUUGACGGGGGCCCGCACAAGCAGCGGAGCGUGUGGUUUAAUUCGAUGGUAAACGAAGAACCUUACCUAGGUUUGACAUAUAAGUAGUACUGACCCGAAAGGUGAUGGACCCGCAAGGGAGCUUAUACAGGUGCUGCAUGGUUGUCGUCAGCUCGUGCCGUGAGGUGUUGGGUUAAGUCCCGCAACGAGCGCAACCCUCGUGGAUAGUUGUUUUCUUUAUCCAGACUGCUUUUACAAGAGGAAGGUGGGGAUGACGUCAAAUCAUCAUGGCUCUUACACCUAGGGCUACACACACGCUACAAUGGACAGUACAGACGGUUGCUAAGUCGCAAGAUGGAGCCAAUCCGAUAAAGCUGUCCCCAAUUGGGAUUGUAGGCUGAAACUCGCCUGCAUGAACCUGGAGUUGCUAGUAACCGCAGAUCAGAAUGCUGCGGUGAAUACGUUCCCGGGCCUUGUACACACCGCCCGUCACGUCAUGGAAGUUUGAAACACUUGAAGUCGUUGGGCUUACCUUUUAGGAGGCAGGCGCCGAGAGUGGGGCAAAUGACUGGGACGAAGUCGUAACAAGGUAGCUGUACCGGAAGGUGCG